RNAcentral lists this ribosomal RNA (388 nucleotides) under uncultured eukaryote. Its description in RNAcentral is "partial 18S ribosomal RNA". It matches the Rfam family "Eukaryotic small subunit ribosomal RNA", at positions 592 to 976 of the family's 1831-position model. The record is from RNAcentral.
CAAUAGCGUAUAUUAAAGUUGUUGCAGUUAAAAAGCUCGUAGUUGGAUUUCUGAUCGAGACAUCAGGUCGGGUCCGAGAGGAUCAUGUACUUUGAUUUUGUUUUGAUCAUCCUUGGGGAGAGCAUUUCUGGCAUUCAGUUGUCGGGAUUGGGAUCCUCAUCGUUUACUGUGAAAAAAUUAGAGUGUUCAAAGCAGGCCUCGGCCUCUGAAUACAUUAGCAUGGGAUAAUAAGAUAGGACUUUGGUGGUCUAUUUUGUUGGUUUGCACGCCAAAGUAAUGAUUAAUAGGGAUAGUUGGGGGUAUUCGUAUUCAAUUGUCAGAGGUGAAAUUCUUGGAUUUAUGGAAGACGAACUACUGCGAAAGCAUUUACCAAGGAUGUUUUCAUUAA